Molecule: ribosomal RNA, 309 nt
Filed under: uncultured eukaryote
Lineage: Eukaryota
Description: partial 18S ribosomal RNA
Rfam family: Eukaryotic small subunit ribosomal RNA
Source: RNAcentral
CCCUUAGAUGUUCUGGGCGGCCCGCGCACUACAAUGGCGCGUUCAUCGAGAACCAAGGUUGAAUUAUUCGAGGUAUUCUUGCAAAACGCGUCUUGAUUGGGAUAGAUCCUUGUAAUUGUUGGUCUUGAACGAGGAAUUCCUUGUAAGCAUGGUUUAUCAUCCCACGUUGAAUGCGUCCCUGCCCUUUGUACACACCGCCCGUCGCUCCUACCGAUGAAUUGUCCGGUGAAGUUCAUGGAGAGCUGUUUCACUGAGAUGUGCUUAAAGCGAGAUGAACCUAGCGGUUUAGAGGAAGGAGAAGUCGUAACA